UGGCUAUAAUGAAAUAAAAACAAGCAUUAAGUAUAGUAUGUAGUUGGAUACUGGCAUUUUCAUAUACAUGGGCUGAAAAAUAGACAAGUCAGAGACACAUAAUGAAAUGAGUGUGUGUGUGUGUGUGUGUGUGUGUGUGUGUGUGUACAACUGGGAUAUCCCUCCUCCCGUAGUACAAUAGCACAAGGUGCCUGAGCCCUAAGGCUAG
Non-coding RNA from Podarcis lilfordi (Lilford's wall lizard), 208 nucleotides. The record is from the annotation of a GenBank genome assembly. NCBI's taxonomy places the organism in Eukaryota, Metazoa, Chordata, Lepidosauria, Squamata, Lacertidae.